GGGUCUUUAGCUCAGCUGGCUAGAGCGUACGAUUCACAUUCGUAAGGUCACUGGUUCGAGCCCAGUAAGACCCACCA
This 77-nucleotide transfer RNA is filed under the name Candidatus Saccharimonadota bacterium. RNAcentral describes it as "tRNA-Val". It matches the Rfam family "tRNA". Rfam says of the family: Transfer RNA (tRNA) molecules are approximately 80 nucleotides in length. Their secondary structure includes four short double-helical elements and three loops (D, anti-codon, and T loops). Lineage: Bacteria; Candidatus Saccharimonadota. The record is from RNAcentral.